Molecule: ribosomal RNA, 372 nt
Filed under: uncultured organism
Description: bacterial SSU rRNA
Rfam family: Bacterial small subunit ribosomal RNA
Source: RNAcentral
CGUAGGGUGCGAGCGUUAAUCGGAAUUACUGGGCGUAAAGCGUGCGCAGGCGGUUUUGUAAGACAGGCGUGAAAUCCCCGGGCUCAACCUGGGAACUGCGCUUGUGACUGCAAGGCUAGAGUACGGCAGAGGGGGGUGGAGUUCCACGUGUAGCAGUGAAAUGCGUAGAGAUGUGGAGGAACACCAAUGGCGAAGGCAGCCCCCUGGGUCGAUACUGACGCUCAUGCACGAAAGCGUGGGUAGCAAACAGGAUUAGAUACCCUGGUAGUCCACGCCCUAAACGAUGUCAACUAGGUGUUGGGUGGGUAAAACCAUUUAGUACCGGAGCUAACGCGUGAAGUUGACCGCCUGGGGAGUACGGCCGCAAGGUUA